Molecule: ribosomal RNA, 495 nt
Filed under: uncultured Glomeromycotina
Lineage: Eukaryota; Fungi; Glomeromycota
Description: partial small subunit ribosomal RNA
Rfam family: Eukaryotic small subunit ribosomal RNA
Source: RNAcentral
CCAAUAGCGUAUAUUAAAGUUGUUGUGGUUAAAAAGCUCGUAGUUGAACCUUGGGCCUGGCUGGCCGGUCCGCCUCACCGCGUGUACUGGUCCGGCCGGGCCUUUCCCUCUGUGGAACCUCAUGCCCUUCACUGGGUGUGACGGGGAAGCAGGACUUUUACUGUGAAAAAAUUAGAGUGCUCCAAGCAGGCCUAUGCUCGAAUACAUUAGCAUGGAAUAAUGAAAUAGGACGUGCGGUUCUAUUUUGUUGGUUUCUAGGACCGCCGUAAUGAUUAAUAGGGACAGUCGGGGGCAUCAGUAUUCAAUUGUCAGAGGUGAAAUUCUUGGAAUUAUUGAAGACUAACUACUGCGAAAGCAUUUGCCAAGGGUGUUUUCAUUAAUCAGGAACGAAAGUUAGGGGAUCGAAGACGAUCAGAUACCGUCGUAGUCUUAACCAUAAACUAUGCCGACUAGGGAUCGGACGAUGUUAUUUUUUGACUCGUUCGGCACCUUACG